Molecule: non-coding RNA, 78 nt
Organism: Schistosoma mansoni
Lineage: Eukaryota; Metazoa; Platyhelminthes; Trematoda; Strigeidida; Schistosomatidae
Source: Rfam
AACUUCCUAAAUCGGUGGCGAGAGUUCAUCAGACACCAACACACCAGGGCUGACGAGACUUUCAAGAUGAGUGAAGUA